Molecule: ribosomal RNA, 414 nt
Filed under: uncultured Alphaproteobacteria bacterium
Lineage: Bacteria; Pseudomonadati; Pseudomonadota; Alphaproteobacteria
Description: bacterial SSU rRNA
Rfam family: Bacterial small subunit ribosomal RNA
Source: RNAcentral
UUAUACAUGCAAGUCGAACGAAGGCCCUAGCUUGCUAGGUGUCCUUAGUGGCGCACGGGUGAGUAACACGUGGGAACAUACCUUAUAGUACGGAAUAACUGCGGGAAACUGUAGCUAAUACCGUAUAUUCCAGUAAUGGGAAAGAUUUAUCGCUAUAAGAUUGGCCCGCGCAAGAUUAGCUUGUUGGUGAGGUAAAAGCUCACCAAGGCUUCGAUCUUUAGCUGGUUUGAGAGGAUGAUCAGCCACACUGGGACUGAGACACGGCCCAGACUCCUACGGGAGGCAGCAGUAGGGAAUAUUGGACAAUGGGGGCAACCCUGAUCCAGCAAUGCAGCGUGAGUGACGAAGGCCUUAGGGUUGUAAAACUCUUUCAUCGGUGAGGAUAAUGACAGUAGCCGAAGAAGAAGGACCGGC